AAAGAUUUUUUGGAGAAAAAUGAAACUUUCAGCAAUUGAAUACACAAGAUUUUGUAAAGAUUCACCAUUGACAGAUGAAGAUUCAAGAAAAUGCAUCCCCUUCAAACUGGAAAGGAUCGUAGAAAGAUAUCUGUGCUUGAGUCCUGCCAUGCAUGAAUUCAACCCAGCCUUUAGAGUACUUCAGAUCAAUCUAAGUGAAAUGCAAAUAUUGCUGGCCAUCAGUCUCCACUGUCAUUUUGCUACAGAUAGAAGGAACCAUGUGAAACAAAGGUUGUUUUAAAAAAAAUAUGAGGAAAGCACAAAUCUUGUCUCAGAGGGGCCGAAGUGUAGGAGUCUGCAUAGCCUUUGUAAAGACUCUAGCAGAAAGCCAAACUCCAUCAGAACUGGUGCAUUUCAAGACUGCAGGACCUUUAUAUAUCAUAUUCUUCAAAAGCCUGAAGUCUUUGUGAAAUCUUUCACGUAAAUUCAGUUUGGAUCCAGGAUACACCC
Long non-coding RNA from Dromaius novaehollandiae (emu), 489 nucleotides. RefSeq lists it as uncharacterized. The transcript is spliced from 3 exons. NCBI's taxonomy places the organism in Eukaryota, Metazoa, Chordata, Aves, Casuariiformes, Dromaiidae. The record is from RefSeq and is a predicted model, not a curated record.